This 815-nucleotide ribosomal RNA is filed under the name uncultured bacterium. RNAcentral's name for it is "bacterial SSU rRNA". It matches the Rfam family "Bacterial small subunit ribosomal RNA", at positions 8 to 796 of the family's 1533-position model. The record is from RNAcentral.
AGAGUUUGAUCCUGGCUCAGAACGAACGCUGGCGGCGUGGAUAAGACAUGCAAGUCGAGCGCUGAUUACAGGGUAGCAAUAUUCUGUGGUCGGAGCGGCGCAAGGGUGCGUAACACGUGGGUAAUCUGCCAUGAAGUUUGGAAUAACUUGCUGAAAGGCGAGCUAAUACCGGAUGUGACAAUUGAGAGGCAUCUUCCGAUUGUCAAAGCUGGGGACCGUAAGGCCUGGCGCUUCAUGAUGAGCCCGCGGCCUAUCAGCUAGUUGGUGAGGUAACGGCUCACCAAGGCUAAGACGGGUAGCUGGUCUGAGAGGACGACCAGCCACACUGGAACUGAGACACGGUCCAGACACCUACGGGUGGCAGCAGUCGAGAAUUUUUCACAAUGGGCGCAAGCCUGAUGGAGCGACGCCGCGUGGGGGAUGAAUGGCUUCGGCCCGUAAACCCCUGUCAUUUGCGAACAAAUUGGUUCAAUUAACACCUGAACCAUUGAUAGUAGCGAAAGAGGAAGGGACGGCUAACUCUGUGCCAGCAGCCGCGGUAAUACAGAGGUCCCAAGCGUUGUUCGGAUUCACUGGGCGUAAAGGGUGCGUAGGUGGUGAGGUAAGUCGGAUGUGAAAUCUCCGAGCUCAACUCGGAAACUGCAUUGGAAACUACCUUGCUCGAGGGUUGGAGGGGGGACUGGAAUGCUUGGUGUAGCAGUGAAAUGCGUAGAUAUCAAGCGGAACACCAGUGGCGAAGGCGAGUCCCUGGACAACUCCUGACACUGAGGCACGAAAGCUAGGGGAGCAAACAGGAUUAGAUACCCUAGUAGUCC